GCACGGAUGGCUGAGUGGCCCAAAGCGGCGGUCCGCAAAACCGCAAAACCGCCGGUUCAAAUCCGGCUCCGUGCUCCA
Molecule: transfer RNA, 78 nt
Filed under: Acidithiobacillus ferridurans
Lineage: Bacteria; Pseudomonadati; Pseudomonadota; Acidithiobacillia; Acidithiobacillales; Acidithiobacillaceae
Also listed under: 1 other name
Description: tRNA-Cys
Rfam family: tRNA
About the family: Transfer RNA (tRNA) molecules are approximately 80 nucleotides in length.
Source: RNAcentral